Molecule: ribosomal RNA, 443 nt
Filed under: Stutzerimonas stutzeri
Lineage: Bacteria; Pseudomonadati; Pseudomonadota; Gammaproteobacteria; Pseudomonadales; Pseudomonadaceae
Description: bacterial SSU rRNA
Rfam family: Bacterial small subunit ribosomal RNA
Source: RNAcentral
UGAGUGGAGCUUGCUCCAUGAUUCAGCGGCGGACGGGUGAGUAAUGCCUAGGAAUCUGCCUGGUAGUGGGGGACAACGUUUCGAAAGGAACGCUAAUACCGCAUACGUCCUACGGGAGAAAGUGGGGGAUCUUCGGACCUCACGCUAUCAGAUGAGCCUAGGUCGGAUUAGCUAGUUGGUGGGGUAAAGGCUCACCAAGGCGACGAUCCGUAACUGGUCUGAGAGGAUGAUCAGUCACACUGGAACUGAGACACGGUCCAGACUCCUACGGGAGGCAGCAGUGGGGAAUAUUGGACAAUGGGCGAAAGCCUGAUCCAGCCAUGCCGCGUGUGUGAAGAAGGUCUUCGGAUUGUAAAGCACUUUAAGUUGGGAGGAAGGGCAGUAAGUUAAUACCUUGCUGUUUUGACGUUACCGACAGAAUAAGCACCGGCUAACUUCGUGCC